UCCGGCGGUGGCCGAGGAGUUCCGGGGCCGCUACCGCUGUUUCGUGGUGGACGAGUACCAGGACGUCACCCCGCUGCAACAGCGGGUGCUCGAC
Molecule: transfer RNA, 94 nt
Filed under: Nocardia otitidiscaviarum
Lineage: Bacteria; Bacillati; Actinomycetota; Actinomycetes; Mycobacteriales; Nocardiaceae
Description: tRNA-Gly(acc)
Source: RNAcentral